UAUCUCUGUAGAGUCUGCAUAUCAAUAAGCGGAGGAAAAGAAACUAACUAGGAUUCCCUCAGUAACGGCGAGUGAAGCGGGAAGAGCUCAAAUUUGAAAUCUUCAAGGUUCUACCUUGACGAAUUGUAGUUUAAAGAAGUGUUUUCUGUUGGAGUUUCGGUAAAAGUUCUUUGGAAUAGGACAUCAUAGAGGGUGAGAAUCCCGUAUUUGACCAUUAUUUCCAACUUUGUGAUACACUUUCAAAGAGUCGGAUUGUUUGGGAAUGCAGUCCAAAAUGGGUGGUAAAUUUCAUCUAAAGCUAAAUAUUGGCGAGAGACCGAUAGCGAACAAGUACCGUGAGGGAAAGAUGAAAAGAACUUUGAAAAGAGAGUUAAACAGUACGUGAAAUUGUCAAAAGGGAAGCGUUUGACACCAGUGUUGUUUUCUCGAAAAUCGAUUAAAAAAGGCUAGGAUUUUGUAUUGUAAUUGACCUUCAUCAGCUUUACUGCUACUCUUUUCUUGUCUUUUUUUAAUGCACUUUUCGUUUAACAAGUCAACAUCAAUUUCUUUUGUUGUAAAAGAGGUCAUUGGAAGGUGGCUUUCUUUUCGGAGAAAGUGUUUAUAGCCUUUGGCCUCUGCAAUCGGAGAGAUUGAGGUCUGCAGCGUAGAUCCUUCGGGGUUAGAUACAUUUGUGCUAAGUUAUAGCCUUUCAUAGACAACUUGUUGACUAUGAUCAGUCAUGUAGCUUACUCGCUUAUGCUAUUUUACCUACGCUUAGGAUGUUGAAGAUGUAGCACAUCAU
RNAcentral lists this ribosomal RNA (781 nucleotides) under uncultured Neocallimastigales. RNAcentral's name for it is "partial large subunit ribosomal RNA". It matches the Rfam family "Eukaryotic large subunit ribosomal RNA", at positions 24 to 635 of the family's 3401-position model. Lineage: Eukaryota; Fungi; Neocallimastigomycota; Neocallimastigomycetes; Neocallimastigales. The record is from RNAcentral.